RNAcentral lists this non-coding RNA (79 nucleotides) under Candidatus Vecturithrix granuli. RNAcentral's name for it is "Bacterium UASB270 c-di-GMP sequence". It matches the Rfam family "c-di-GMP-I riboswitch aptamer". From Rfam's summary of the family: GEMM was predicted in a large-scale screen for bacterial structured RNA regulatory elements. Lineage: Bacteria; Candidatus Moduliflexota; Candidatus Vecturitrichia; Candidatus Vecturitrichales; Candidatus Vecturitrichaceae. The record is from Rfam by way of RNAcentral.
UCAAGCUCAAGCCAAACCUGUCGUGAGGCAGGGACAGAAAGCCGCGGAUCUUUAUCACAAAGAAAGCCGGGUUGCCUUG